Molecule: regulatory RNA element, 66 nt
Organism: Nocardia brasiliensis ATCC 700358
Lineage: Bacteria; Bacillati; Actinomycetota; Actinomycetes; Mycobacteriales; Nocardiaceae
Rfam family: Actino-pnp RNA
Source: Rfam
GUCGGUCUUCGGUAGUGGCCUCCCGGCAGGGGAUAGACCGCCGGCGGGCUUCGAUCGAUGACCGCC